ACACUCCUGCGGGAGGCAGCAGUGGGGAAUUUUGGACAAUGGGCGAAAGCCUGAUCCAGCAAUGCCGCGUGAGUGAAGAAGGCCUUCGGGUUGUAAAGCUCUUUUGUCAGGGAAGAAACGGUGAGAGCUAAUAUCUUUUGCUAAUGACGGUACCUGAAGAAUAAGCACCGGCUAACUACGUGCCAGCAGCCGCGGUAAUACGUAGGGUGCAAGCGUUAAUCGGAAUUACUGGGCGUAAAGCGUGCGCAGGCGGUUUUGUAAGUCUGAUGUGAAAUCCCCGGGCUCAACCUGGGAAUUGCAUUGGAGACUGCAAGGCUAGAAUCUGGCAGAGGGGGGUAGAAUUCCACGUGUAGCAGUGAAAUGCGUAGAUAUGUGGAGGAACACCGAUGGCGAAGGCAGCCCCCUGGGUCAAGAUUGACGCUCAUGCACGAAAGCGUGGGGAGCAAACAGGAUUAGAAACCCGUGUAGUCCCAUGA
RNAcentral lists this ribosomal RNA (476 nucleotides) under uncultured organism. Its description in RNAcentral is "partial 16S ribosomal RNA". It matches the Rfam family "Bacterial small subunit ribosomal RNA", at positions 333 to 800 of the family's 1533-position model. The record is from RNAcentral.